CCUACGGGAGGCAGCAGUGAGGAAUAUUGGACAAUGGGCGCGAGCCUGAACCAGCCAAGUAGCGUGAAGGAUGACUGCCCUACGGGUUGUAAGCUUCUUUUAUAAAGGAGUAAAGUGAGGCACGUGUGCCUUUUUGUCUGUACUUUAUGAAUAAGGAUAGGCUAACUCCGUGCCAGCAGCCGCGGUAAUACGGAGGAUCCGAGCGUUAUCCGGAUUUAGUGGGUUUAAAGGGAGCGUAGAUGGGUGGUUAAGUCAGUUGUGAAAGUUUGCGGCGCAACCGUAAAAUUGCAAUUGAUACUGGCAGCCUUGAGUACAGUUGAGGUAGGCGGAAUUCGUGGUGUAGCGGUGAAAUGCUUAGAUAUCACGAAGAACUCCGAUUGCGAAGGCAGCCUACUAAACUGCCACUGACAUUGAUGCUCGAAAGUGUGGGUAUCAAACAGGAUUAGAUACCCGAGUAGUC
RNAcentral lists this ribosomal RNA (460 nucleotides) under uncultured bacterium. RNAcentral's name for it is "partial 16S ribosomal RNA". It matches the Rfam family "Bacterial small subunit ribosomal RNA", at positions 338 to 795 of the family's 1533-position model. The record is from RNAcentral.